AUGGUUGAACACUAUUCACUAACAAAGGCUUUUUACAGAGAUAAGGUUGAAAGGGAUCCUAGGUUCGCCGCCUCUCCCACCUGCCCCGGCGCGGACCCCGAGGCGCCCCCGGUCUCGGCUUCCGCCGCGCUGCCCGCCAGCACCGCUGCGGAGAACAAGGCCAGCCCCGCGGGGACAGCAGGGGGGCCUGGGGCUGGAGCAGCUGCUGGGGACAUGGGACCCUUGGCGGCGCGGGCCGGGGAGCCAGCUGAGCGGCGUGGGUGUCGGCGGGUGGCGCGGCUCCCCCAGAAGGGGCCAUGUCUAAGGGUGUUUACGUACUGCCCAGCGCGGCCAACGGAGACGCGAAGCCGGUGGUGUCCAGCACGCCUUUGGUGGACUUCUUGAUGCAGCUGGAGGAUUACACGCCUACGACGCCAGAUGCAGUGACUGGUUACUACCUGAACCAUGCUGGCUUUGAGGCCUCAGACCCACGCAUAAUUCGGCUCAUCUCCCUAGCUGCCCAGAAAUUCAUCUCAGAUAUUGCCAAUGAUGCCCUACAGCACUGCAAAAUGAAGGGCACAGCCUCCGGCAGCUCCCGGAGCAAGAGCAAGGACCGCAAGUAUACUUUAACCAUGGAGGACUUGACCCCUGCCCUCAGCGAGUAUAGCAUCAACGUGAAGAAGCCGUACUACUUCACCUGAGCCACCCAACCUAAAUGUACUUGUCUGUCCCCAUGUCCCCACACCAGCCUGUUUUCACAAUAAACUUUAUUGUGACAAAAAAAAAAAAAAAAAAGAAAGGGAUCCUAGAACUAUAAUUCAAGAAGAUAAACUAUUUACAUAGCCAAAAUAUUCUGCUAGAUAACUAAUGUGGAAAAACAAAAAUCUUCAAAACUGGGUUUGAAAAAUCAACUAAAAAGAAACAAGGAGGAAGAGACUGGGAUCAAUACAGUUUUGUACAAAAAAGACUUGGGUGAUUUAGCUGAGUAAAAGCCCAAUAUGAAUCAAGAGCUAAAAACAGCUGAAGCCAGGCAUGAUGGUGUGCAUCUGUAGUCCCAGCUACUUGGGAAGCUGAGGCAGGAGAAUCUGCACUCCGGUCUGUAUGACAGAACAAGAUCCAAAAAAAAAAAAAAAAAAAGGGCUCAGUAAGUACCAGGAUAGAGAGCUUUUCUACACUUCCUGCUAAUUACAGAUCCAUAUGACAUAACAGAUAAUCAAACUGGGCACAGGCAACUCUUCAUUCUCUUUGAAGAGACUUAAAAACAGGGGCUGGAACAUAUUAUCCCAUUUUCAGCCUGGGAUAAAGCUUGAAGAAGCACCCACAGGCAGGGGUCAGGAUUCACAACAGGCUUCAAGGCUUCCAUAGAAGCCUUGAAGUUCUAUUCCACAGAGAACAGACUACAGAAAUUUUAGUCUGGAAAA
Molecule: RNA transcript, 1400 nt
Organism: Cercocebus atys (sooty mangabey)
Lineage: Eukaryota; Metazoa; Chordata; Mammalia; Primates; Cercopithecidae
Gene name: transcription initiation factor TFIID subunit 10 pseudogene
Exons: 3
Source: RefSeq, a predicted model, not a curated record